RNAcentral lists this ribosomal RNA (496 nucleotides) under uncultured bacterium. RNAcentral's name for it is "partial 16S ribosomal RNA". It matches the Rfam family "Bacterial small subunit ribosomal RNA", at positions 28 to 507 of the family's 1533-position model. The record is from RNAcentral.
GAUGAACGCUGGCGGCGUGCCUAAUACAUGCAAGUCGAGCGAACGGACGAGAAGCUUGCUUUUCUGAUGUUAGCGGCGGACGGGUGAGUAACACGUGUAUAACCUACCUAUAAGACUGGUUUAAUUUCGGAAACCGGAGCCAAAACCGGAAGAAACUUUUAACCCCAUGGGUGAAAAGUUAAAGUACGGCCUUUCUGUAUGUAAUGGCGGAUUCUCGCCUCAUUAGUUAGUUGGUUAGUUAACGGCUUAUCAAGGCAACGAUGGCUAGCCCAACUGAGAGGGUGAUAGGCCACCCGGGAAGUGGGACACGGUCCAGACUACUGCGGGAGGCAGCAGUAGGGAAUCUUACGCAAUGGGCGAAAGCCUGACGGAGCAACGCCACGUGAGUGAUGAAGGUCUUCGGAUCGUAAAACUGUGUUAUUAGGGAAGAACAUAUGUGUAAGUAACUGUGCACAUCUUGACGGUACCGAAUCAGAAAGCCACGGCUAACUACGUG